CUAUACAUGCAAGUCGAGCGGUGCAGCAAUGCAUAGCGGCGAACGGGUGAGUAACGCGUAAGCAAUCUGCCCCACACUCGGGAAUAGCCGUGCCAACGCGCGGGUAAUACCGGAUAUCGUGGCCUUGGACAUCCGAGGUUGACGAAAGAUCCAUCGGUGUGGGAUGAGCGUUGCGUCCGAUUAGCUAGGUAGGCGGGCAACGGCCCACCUAGGCGACGAUCGGUAGCCGGCCUGAGAGGGUGAUCGGCCACAUUGGGACUGAGAUACGGCCCAGACUCCUACGGGAGGCAGCAGUAGGGAAUAUUGCACGAAUGGGGGGAACCCUGAUGCAGCAACGCCCACGUGUGGGAAGAAGCAUUUCGGUGUGUAAACCACUGUCGUGAGGGAAUAAGGCAUUUUUCGGAGAUGUUGAAUGUACCUCGAAAGGAAGCACCGGCAAACUUCGUGCCAGCCGCGGC
RNAcentral lists this ribosomal RNA (458 nucleotides) under uncultured bacterium. RNAcentral describes it as "bacterial SSU rRNA". It matches the Rfam family "Bacterial small subunit ribosomal RNA", at positions 49 to 518 of the family's 1533-position model. The record is from RNAcentral.